This is a long non-coding RNA of Priapulus caudatus, 576 nucleotides long. RefSeq lists it as uncharacterized. The transcript is spliced from 3 exons. NCBI's taxonomy places the organism in Eukaryota, Metazoa, Priapulida, Priapulimorpha, Priapulimorphida, Priapulidae. The record is from RefSeq and is a predicted model, not a curated record.
GGCAGGCGGGAGGCGCUGGCGCGGUCCGACGAUCCGCCGCUGUGCAGUCGCGUGGUGCUAACGAGCAAGGCGUGGAUACAGCCGGAGACGAACAACUACGACGCAGAGAUAGAGGAAGAGUUGCAUCAUAAAAAGCUAGUGAAUAUACUACACGUAGGUGGCGCCACCACUGCAGAACCCCGGCACUCUGUUCCCCGACCGCCUAACAAGCCUCUGUUAGACAGCCAGCUAAUAUCUAGUCAUAGGCGACUAAGAACGCUGGCACAGUCAUGAUGCAUGGAGUCAACAGGCCGUGGCGUACCGGGAGGUAACACACGUAUGGCCCCUUGCUGCGAUCCUCAAAUCCUCUCAUCAUCUCACGACGUGUGCGUUCUACAUUGCUAAUAGAAAAAUCUAUGUAGUAAUAUUGCGUAAACAUAUAUAUAUACAUGUAUAUAUAUAUAUAUAUAUAUAUAUAUAUAUACAAGGUGUAGACAUGUCUACUUGAUACGAUGUAUAUAAAAUGUGUUCUAUAUACAUUGUAUCAGGAGUAAAUGAAAACAAACAGAUUGUUUUUAUUCACUUCUGAUUGUAUGC